UGGGGAAUAUUGCACAAUGGGGGAAACCCUGAUGCAGCGACGCCGCGUGAGCGAAGAAGUAUUUCGGUAUGUAAAGCUCUAUCAGCAGGGAAGAAAAUGACGGUACCUGACUAAGAAGCACCGGCUAAAUACGUGCCAGCAGCCGCGGUAAUACGUAUGGUGCAAGCGUUAUCCGGAUUUACUGGGUGUAAAGGGAGCGUAGACGGCUGUGUAAGUCUGAAGUGAAAGCCCGGGGCUCAACCCCGGGACUGCUUUGGAAACUAUGCAGCUAGAGUGUCGGAGAGGUAAGUGGAAUUCCCAGUGUAGCGGUGAAAUGCGUAGAUAUUGGGAGGAACACCAGUGGCGAAGGCGGCUUACUGGACGAUGACUGACGUUGAGGCUCGAAAGCGUGGGGAGCAAACAGG
This 404-nucleotide ribosomal RNA is filed under the name Coprococcus sp. RNAcentral's name for it is "bacterial SSU rRNA". It matches the Rfam family "Bacterial small subunit ribosomal RNA", at positions 355 to 776 of the family's 1533-position model. Lineage: Bacteria; Bacillati; Bacillota; Clostridia; Lachnospirales; Lachnospiraceae. RNAcentral also lists the same sequence under 3 other names. The record is from RNAcentral.